CCUACGGGUGGCAGCAGUGAGGAAUAUUGGUCAAUGGACGGAAGCCUGAACCAGCCACGCCGCGUGCAGGAAGACGGCCCUAUGAGUUGUAAACUGCUUUUGUACAAGGGUAAACCUGAAUACGUGUAUUCAGCUGAAAGUACUGUACGAAUAAGGCUCGGCUAACUCCGUGCCAGCAGCCGCGGUAAUACGGAGGAUCCAAGCGUUAUCCGGAUUUAUUGGGUUUAAAGGGUGCGUAGGCGGAAUGAUAAGUUAGAGGUGAAAUGUCCGAGCUUAACUCGGGAACUGCCUCUAAUACUGGUGAUCUAGAGAGUAGGUGCGGUAGGCGGAAUGUAUGGUGUAGCGGUGAAAUGCUUAGAGAUCAUACAGAACACCGAUUGCGAAGGCAGCUUACCAGUCUAUAUCUGACGUUGAGGCACGAAAGCGUGGGGAGCAAACAGGAUUAGAUACCCCAGUAGUC
Molecule: ribosomal RNA, 460 nt
Filed under: uncultured bacterium
Lineage: Bacteria
Description: partial 16S ribosomal RNA
Rfam family: Bacterial small subunit ribosomal RNA
Source: RNAcentral